RNAcentral lists this long non-coding RNA (401 nucleotides) under Androctonus crassicauda. Lineage: Eukaryota; Metazoa; Arthropoda; Arachnida; Scorpiones; Buthidae. The record is from RNAcentral.
AUAAAGAGCAUAAUAAAAUAAUAAAUAGGAUAGGUCAGAGCUAACUUCUUCAGAAACUAAACAAAUGGAAGUCAUAUGAUGAUAAAUUGGGGCUAUAUGCUCGAUGUUCCAGUAUUUCUCAUUUGAACUUCUGAUGCAAUGACUGUUUCAUGCAAUACAUGUAGACAGGCAUUGUCAUGCAGAAGCACUACUACAUUUCUCAGCAAUCCUGGCCAACUUGAUUUUGAUGUUGACUUAGAGACAUUGCAAGAUUUUACACAACCAUCAGUCUUAACAAGUUCGUCUAAACUGGCUGUAUCUCGGCAGAGAUUAUGUUUACUUGAACUCUGCAUGCAUUAUUUUCCAAACUUUCAUGACCAUCUUUAACCUGCUCUCUCUGUUAGCAUAUAGAGACAUCAAAG